Long non-coding RNA from Cebus imitator (Panamanian white-faced capuchin), 1824 nucleotides. RefSeq lists it as uncharacterized. NCBI's taxonomy places the organism in Eukaryota, Metazoa, Chordata, Mammalia, Primates, Cebidae. The record is from RefSeq and is a predicted model, not a curated record. The transcript is spliced from 4 exons.
UCAGUAGAUGUGCUAAUAGCAUCUGCAAUCCAGCACAGCCAUGUGUCUUCAAUGAAGAAAAUGUGGGUGUUUACUUGACAGAGUUUCUCAGCUCUACAAUAGGGUGAUAUUGGUUCCUCCCUAAUCUGUAUCCAAUUUUACAACUGAACUUUUACCUUGAAAAGCCUAGCGUGGGAAAAUAAAGAGAACUAUAAAAACAGUCAUAAAUAAAAGCCAGUAGCACAUUUCUAAGGCAUAGGUGCCUGCAUGUGCAAUGUAAUCACAUCAACUUGUCUUUAAAAUUGUGUUGUUAAAAAAUUGUGUAAGAGGUAACAAGAGGUAACAGAGCAGAAAUAGUGAGAGGACAGUUGUGUAAUUAGUGAACAAAUCUCUUUUCUUGGAGGGGAUAUACUGUCUCUAUUACAUAACUCUGCCGAAGUCUCUAUAAGGGUGAUGAAGACAGUAGGGUAUGGUGGAAGGAAAAGUAGCUUGGGAACCAGGCUAUUUUUUUUAAUGUUCUUAAGCUCUUAGGCUAUUUGGCAUUGGGUUUUUAUUACAUACAACUGUCGUUGUGGCUAUGAUAGUGGGUGUGUAGGGUAGAGGAGGGGAAAAUAAAUUGACUACAUUCAUUUUAGCUAGAAAAAGAAAUCCAAAUUCUGAUGCCCUGGAAUAGAUUAUAUCAAUCUUUUAAAUAAUUCUAAUUGUAUACUUUUAGGCCUAUUGUCCAUACGUGAACCUGUCCUGAGGUCAGGGUAAUAGAGUCCUAAAGCUGGCUGAAUUAUUUGUUCACUCUGGUAUCCAGGAUAAGGGAGUGGUCAGUGUUGGCGAUUCACAAUGAUUUGCUUCCCCAUUGGAAAGAUGGGCUUUGUUUUCAGAAGAAGUGAGUACUGGACAGAGAAGGACAAGAGAUGUCCAGCAAAUCUUUGAAACCCUAUCAGCCUUGAUAGGCAAUCUUCCCUAAAGGUACACAGCUCUGAACAUGCCAAUACUCUAUUUAAAAACCAGUAAGGUAGAGUGGAAGGCAUAGCUGAGUGAAACUGAAACCCUCUUUGUGCUGGAGGUUUCUUUCUGACAGCACGCCUCCGCCCCUGUCCAAAAGGCCUGAUGUGAAAUAUUGCAACAAAGUCAAAAUCAACUGGCAGAUGCUAAUAUUUUUCUGGCUUUAUGAAGGAAUGGCGAGGUUUAGGCUUUCAUGAUCUGGAACAUUCUAAAAGCAUUCUCUCCACAUGGGCUCAUGUUCGGGAGGCUGGAGACUAGUGAUGUCAGCCCUGAGUUUUCAUCAUGUGGCAAUCAGAGCUCUAGAAGCACAGGUCAGACUUCCAGGCUCUCCUGUUGCUCUGCCUCUGGCGUUACGUGCCUGAACUGAAUUGGCAAACCAUUCUUUGCUACCAGGAUGCAGAAAAUCAGGUUUCUCAUUUUCCAAAUAAUUCUUCAUUUCAAAAGGUUGGGGCAAGAUUUGCAGAAGAGAGUUGGAAGGAACAAACAUUUAUUAAGACAUCAGUGAAUGAAUGUGGACUGUGAGCUCCAAAGACCCAUAUUUGAAUACCAAAUUUGCCACUUAUUUUCUGGGUAACUUUAAGGAAAUUGCUUCCCUGCUUUGAGGCUCUGUUUUCCCCUCCUCUAGAGAAUGAGGAUGUUAUUAUUUAUCCUGCUGGCUUGCUGUGUGGCUUGAAUGAAGUUCUCACUGCAAAGCAUGUGAUCCAGACUCAGGUACAGGUUGAUUCCUACAGUCAAAGGUUCAGGAGAAAUGACAGCUAUGGUGAGCUCUCACCUCCUGCAGGCUGUAGUAAGCCAGUGUGUAGCGAGAAAAUGGUGUAAAAACUACUGAUACGGUUUAGCUGUGCC